UGGAAAGCCUUAAUACGUGGGACAUUUUCUCCAAGGAGAUCACGAGGAGGGUACUACUGAUGACCUGAAGCUGGCUUGCAGAGACAAAGCAUAUGUUGUUCAGCUAUCUUCUGUUUUUAAAGGACAGCUUGCAAAAUUCUUUCAUUUAAAUCUGGGUAGGAACUCAUUUAUUUUGAAGGUUUUUUUCUAACUCAGCUAAGACCAAGGAUCAACAAACAUCCCAAGAAAGGACUGUCCUAGGCAUUUCCAGGCUAAAAUUUAUCCAAGGGGCAUUACGUAAGUUUGCAUCCUCCACACCAAGAUGACUUUCUAAGUAACAUUUUU
Molecule: long non-coding RNA, 324 nt
Filed under: Crocodylus porosus (Australian saltwater crocodile)
Lineage: Eukaryota; Metazoa; Chordata; Crocodylia; Crocodylidae
Description: lncRNA (ENSCPRG00005009025.1)
Source: RNAcentral